This 77-nucleotide transfer RNA is filed under the name Clostridium sp. Its description in RNAcentral is "tRNA-Arg". It matches the Rfam family "tRNA". From Rfam's summary of the family: Transfer RNA (tRNA) molecules are approximately 80 nucleotides in length. Their secondary structure includes four short double-helical elements and three loops (D, anti-codon, and T loops). Lineage: Bacteria; Bacillati; Bacillota; Clostridia; Eubacteriales; Clostridiaceae. The record is from RNAcentral.
GCGCUCGUAGCUCAGUUGGAUAGAGCGUCCCCCUCCUAAGGGGAAGGCCGGAGGUUCGACUCCUCUCGCGCGCACCA